Paralichthys olivaceus (Japanese flounder) is the source of this 581-nucleotide long non-coding RNA. RefSeq lists it as uncharacterized. NCBI's taxonomy places the organism in Eukaryota, Metazoa, Chordata, Actinopteri, Pleuronectiformes, Paralichthyidae. The record is from RefSeq and is a predicted model, not a curated record.
AGGAGGAGCCUCAACGGCGCCGGUCAGCAGCUCUGACAUGGCGGCGGCACACAGCCUGGUCCCCUGGUACAUCGCUGCUGGAAUGGAUGGAACUUUACUCUGCUGAAUGAGUCCAUCACGCAACGUUCGAUUCCACGCGUGGACAUGGACGCGUUUUAUUUCUCCCUGCGCGGAGAUGGUCGGUGCGUAAAAACUUUCUAUGAAUGGAGCUGCAAAGUUUCCAGACUCACGCUCGGACCAGCGGCUGUCUCAACAAAAUGAAGAGAUCCUCUGUCAAACUGCUGCCUCUGCUCUUUCAGCGGCUCAGGCCGGAUUAAACCCGGCUGACGGUGCUCAGUGUGCGGUUGCUCCGCUCCCUCACGCCAGCCUCUGUGUUCCAGGUAUGGUUGUCCACUUCAGCAGCCCAGAGGAGGAGACGUGUCAUUACAGCUGCCCACCACGGAUUUACCCUUUCACAUCAAGUUUAUUUCUUGGAUUUACAUGACUUUUAUCCUAUUUUCUUAAUGUGAAUGUGAUGAUACCUGAGCUGUUUUUCAAAGACAUAUGUCAAACAUUAAAGAACAUUUUUUACUUUUAUACAA